GCGGGAGUAGCUCAGUUGGUUAGAGCACUGGCCUGUCACGCCAGUGGUCGCGGGUUCGAGUCCCGUCUCUCGCGCCA
Molecule: transfer RNA, 77 nt
Filed under: Alphaproteobacteria bacterium
Lineage: Bacteria; Pseudomonadati; Pseudomonadota; Alphaproteobacteria
Description: tRNA-Asp
Rfam family: tRNA
About the family: Transfer RNA (tRNA) molecules are approximately 80 nucleotides in length. Their secondary structure includes four short double-helical elements and three loops (D, anti-codon, and T loops). Further hydrogen bonds mediate the characteristic L-shaped molecular structure. tRNAs have two regions of fundamental functional importance: the anti-codon, which is responsible for specific mRNA codon recognition, and the 3' end, to which the tRNAs corresponding amino acid is attached (by aminoacyl-tRNA synthetases). tRNAs cope with the degeneracy of the genetic code in two manners: having more than one tRNA (with a specific anti-codon) for a particular amino acid; and 'wobble' base-pairing, i.e. permitting non-standard base-pairing at the 3rd anti-codon position.
Source: RNAcentral